Molecule: ribosomal RNA, 228 nt
Filed under: uncultured eukaryote
Lineage: Eukaryota
Description: partial 18S ribosomal RNA
Rfam family: Eukaryotic small subunit ribosomal RNA
Source: RNAcentral
AGAAAUCUCACCAGGCCCGGACACUGGAAGGAUUGACAGAUUGAUAGCUCUUCCUUGAUUCGGUGGGUGGUGUUGCAUGGCUGUUCUUAGUUGGUUGAGUGAUUUGUCUUGUUAAUUCCUAUAACGAACGAGACCUUAACCUGCUAAAUAGUGACGCGGUUCAUCGAACCGUGGGCCACUUCUUAGAGGGACUAUCGGAUUCAAACCGAUGGAAGUGUGAGGCAAUAA